CUGCCGACCGGGUGUCGGAAAAGGAGGCGGAAGCGGGGAGGAGCCGCCGCCAGAGCCAGACUGCAUCCGCCGCGGCGUCUCCAUGGCACAACCCUGGCCUCCGACUUCAAAGACUACAUAAGGCGGCGUUUCUGGGCGCAGCCGUGUCGCUCCUGGACAGUUGCUGUGCGACUUGGACAGUAGAGGAGCGCCUCCCAAGUUUUCAUCCAACUGCCAACCCCAAAGCUUCCACCCUUCUCCCCUCAGAGAGCACGUUUGAUGCCGGGCCCCUUGAGAGGCUCAUUGACAAGCCCGCCCCUCUGGGUCCCCCUGAGCAGAGCCUGCUGACCCAAUUGCCCACCUUUGCGGCUUUGAUGCCUAGCCAUGUCUGCCUCAUCCUCAGGCGGCUCCCCCAGGUUUCCAUCGUGUGGGAAGAACGGAGUAACGAGUCUCACGCAGAAAAAGGUCUUGAGAGCACCUUGUGGCGCACCCAGUGUAACUGUGACGAUCAACCAUUUUUGUGUUGUCCUCCCCCACCUGCCAGAAGCCAACCAUGAAGGACCGCUCUUCAACUCCCCCCUUACAUGUUCACGUGGAUGAGAACACCCCUGUCCACGUCCACAUAAAAAAACUCCCGAAACCAUCAGCGACCAGCAGCCAGAAAUCUCACAAGCGAGGAAUGAAAGGGGACACUGUGAAUGUGCGGCGGAGUGUCCGGGUGAAAACCAAGGUACCUUGGAUGCCCCCUGGAAAAUCAUCUGCCCGGCCUGUGGGAUGCAAGUGGGAGAAUCCACCUCAUUGCCUGGAGAUCACGCCACCAUCUUCAGAAAAGCUGGUCUCAGUGUUGCGGUUAAGUGACCUCUCUACAGAAGAUGAUGACUCAGGUCACUGUAAAAUGAACCGUUAUGAUAAGAAGAUUGAUAGUCUAAUGAAUGCGGUUGGUUGUCUGAAGUCUGAGGUGAGGGAGGUAGGGGGCUGGGAUAGCUACUACCCUGAGGAUGUGCAGGAGCACCCAGGUGGAUUUCCUGCCUGGUCCCUCAGCCUGCGUCUGUAGGCCUUCAGGCCUCCUCUGCAG
Molecule: small RNA, 1054 nt
Filed under: Pan troglodytes (chimpanzee)
Lineage: Eukaryota; Metazoa; Chordata; Mammalia; Primates; Hominidae
Description: retained intron
Source: RNAcentral